AUGGACAUGAGGGCCCCGGCUCAGCUCCUCAGCCUCCUGCUGCUCUGGCUUCCAGGGUCCAGGGGUGACAUCCAGUUGACCCAGUCUCCACCCUUCGUGUCUGCAUCUCCUGGAGACAGAGUCACCAUCUCCUGCCGGGCCAGUCAGGACAUCAGCAAGUAUUUAGCCUGGCACCAGCAGAGACCUGGGCAGGCUCCCAUGCGCAUCAUCUAUGAUGCAUCCAGCAGGCCCGAUAGCGUCCCAGCCCGCUUCAGCGGCAGCGGGUCCGGGACAGACUUCACGCUCACCAUCAGCAGCCUGGAGCCUGAGGAUGCCGCCACUUACUACUGUCAGCAGGGUAAAAGUACCCCUCCCACAGUGAUAUAG
Non-coding RNA from Condylura cristata (star-nosed mole), 366 nucleotides. NCBI's taxonomy places the organism in Eukaryota, Metazoa, Chordata, Mammalia, Eulipotyphla, Talpidae. The record is from the annotation of a RefSeq genome assembly.